This 497-nucleotide ribosomal RNA is filed under the name uncultured bacterium. RNAcentral's name for it is "partial 16S ribosomal RNA". It matches the Rfam family "Bacterial small subunit ribosomal RNA", at positions 28 to 507 of the family's 1533-position model. The record is from RNAcentral.
GUUGAACGCUGGCGGCGGGCCUAAUACAUGCAAGUCGAGCGAACGGACGAAGCUCUUGCUUCGCUUACGUUGGCGGCGGACGGGUGAUGAACACGUGGAUAACCGACCUAUAGGACUGGGGUAACGUCGGGAAAGCUGAUCUAAUAUCCGAUAAUAGAGUGAAACUCAUGGUUCAAUAGUGUAAAACGUUUUUGCUGUGACUUAUAGGGAGUUCCGCGCCGGAGUAGCUAGUUGGUAAGGUAACGACCUACCAAGGCAACUAUGCGUAGCCGACCUGAGAGGGGGAUCGGCCACACUGGAACUGAGACACGGUCCAGACUCCUACGGGAGGCAGCAGUAGGGAAUAUUGCGCAAUGGGCGAAAGCCUGACGGAGCAACGCCGCGUGAGUGAUGAAGGUCUUCGGAUCGUAAAACUCUGUUAUUAGGGAAGAACAAAAGUAUAAGUAAAUAUGCCCGUCUUGACGUUACCUACACAGAAAGCCCCGGCUAACUACGUG